CCUACGGGAGGCUGCAGUGAGGAAUAUUGGUCAAUGGACGAGAGUCUGAACCAGCCAAGUAGCGUGAAGGAUGACUGCCCUAUGGGUUGUAAACUUCUUUUAUAUGGGAAUAAAAUGUUCCACGUGUGGGAUUUUGUAUGUACCAUAUGAAUAAGGAUCGGCUAACUCCGUUCCAGCAGCCGCGGUAAUACGGAGGAUGCGAGCGUUAUCCGGAUUUAUUGGGGUUAAAGGGAGCGUAGGUGGAUUGUUAAGUCAGUUGUGAAAGUUUGCGGCUUAACCGUUAAAUUGCAGUUGAAACUGGCAGUCUUGAGUACAGGAGAGGUGGGCGGAAGUCGUGGUGUAGCGGUGAAAUGCUUAGAUAUCACGAAGAACACCGGGUGAGAAGGCAGCCCACUGGACUGCAACUGACACUGAGGCUCGAAAGUGUGGGUAGCAAACAGGAUUAGAUACCCCAGUAGUC
This 460-nucleotide ribosomal RNA is filed under the name uncultured bacterium. RNAcentral describes it as "partial 16S ribosomal RNA". It matches the Rfam family "Bacterial small subunit ribosomal RNA", at positions 338 to 795 of the family's 1533-position model. The record is from RNAcentral.